UACGGAGGAUGCAAGCGUUAUCCGGAAUGAUUGGGCGUAAAGCGUCCGCAGGUGGCAAUGUAAGUCUGCUGUCAAAGCGUCUGGCUCAACCAGAUAAAGGCAGUGGAAACUACAUAGCUAGAGUAAGGUAGGGGUAGAGGGAAUUCCUGGUGUAGCGGUGAAAUGCGUAGAGAUCAGGAAGAACACCGGUGGCGAGAGCGCUCUGCUGGACCUUAACUGACACUGAGGGACGAAAGCUAGGGGAGCGAAUGGG
Molecule: ribosomal RNA, 253 nt
Filed under: uncultured bacterium
Lineage: Bacteria
Description: partial 16S ribosomal RNA
Rfam family: Bacterial small subunit ribosomal RNA
Source: RNAcentral